AAAGGACUGGUUCAUUUGGGAAGGGCCUCUUUCUGCCCCCUGCCCGCUCUGCUUUUCCUCCUUCUUCCAUCCUACGAAGGGCUCCAGCAGCUGUCCUGGACCAUGAGGUGGCCUUGAGGAAGAAGCCACAAGCUAGGAGGGAGGAGCAGAAAGAUAGGGACCUGAGCCCCUGAUGACACCACAGAGCCGCCAUACUUGUCCUGCAUGGCCAACGUGUAGAUCUGGACACGAGAGAGAUAAGCUUCUGUCUUGUGCAAGCUACCACCACCUGUUGAAACAAAUGUACCUUUCCAUCCUACAGGACGUCCACAUAUAACAAAAGACAUGAUUACACCGUAGAUGAGGAAACUGAGGCACAGAAAAGGAUGAGGAUGAGCCAGAAUUCAAAGCCAGGCAGUCUGAUUCUGAGCCUAUCCACUCAACCACCUUGCACAGCUCCCUCUAAUGCAAAGACCCCUCAUAAGGGCCAGGAGUUUUACUAACAUUGCCAGAAGUCUCGCAGCAAACUGGGGGCCUCACACACGAUCUAGCCGCACAUUAGAACCAGCUGAGAAGGCUGUAAAGCACACCUAGGCCUGGAGCAAACACCAUAAUGGGUUGUCAUCUGGGGACUCGAAUGAAGAGUGAUGCGGAAGCCCUGCGCUCUCCUUGUACUGUUUUUGUACCUCUCAAGUUUCAUCAAAAUUUUUUUUAAAAAGUGAAAGUAACUAAAGAACGUAGUAGGACAAUAUUAGCUGACCUGGAGGGAUUUCUCCAGGAAUUGUUAGCAAGAGGUGCUAAUAAAAGUGUUACUUACAAGAUCCAGAA
Long non-coding RNA from Bos taurus (domestic cattle), 807 nucleotides. Lineage: Eukaryota; Metazoa; Chordata; Mammalia; Artiodactyla; Bovidae. The record is from Ensembl.